UACAGAGGUCUCAAGCGUUGUUCGGAUUCAUUGGGCGUAAAGGGUGCGUAGGCGGCGGGGUCAGUCGGGUGUGAAAUCUUGGGGCUUAACCCCGAAACGGCACUCGAAACUGCCCGGCUGGAGGGCCGGAGAGGAGAUCGGAAUUCACGGUGUAGCAGUGAAAUGCGUAGAGAUCGUGAGGAAGACCCGUGGCGAAGGCGGAUCUCUGGACGGCUAACUGACGCUGAGGCGCGAAGGCCAGGGGAGCAAACGGG
This 254-nucleotide ribosomal RNA is filed under the name uncultured bacterium. RNAcentral describes it as "partial 16S ribosomal RNA". It matches the Rfam family "Bacterial small subunit ribosomal RNA", at positions 524 to 776 of the family's 1533-position model. The record is from RNAcentral.